Non-coding RNA from Nannospalax galili (Upper Galilee mountains blind mole rat), 414 nucleotides. NCBI's taxonomy places the organism in Eukaryota, Metazoa, Chordata, Mammalia, Rodentia, Spalacidae. The record is from the annotation of a RefSeq genome assembly.
GUGACCAGCACUGAACACAGACUCACCAUGGAGCCGGGGCUCAGCUGGCUUUUCCUUGUUGUGCUUUUAAAAGGUGUCCAGUGUGAGGUUCAGCUGGUGGAGUCUGGAGGAGGCUUGGUACAGCCUGGGGGAUUCCUGACCCUCUCCUGUGCAAGCUCUGGAUUCACCUUCAGUAACUACUGGAUGUACUGGUUCCGCCAGGCUCCAGGGAAGGGGUUGGAGUGGGUAGCCAGAAUAAGUGGUGGUGGAAUUCAAAACUACGCCAACUCCGUGAAAGGACGAUUCACCAUUUCCAGAGACAAUUCCAAGAACACCGCAUCCCUGCAAAUGAGCAGUUUGAGGUCUGAGGACACAGCCACGUAUUACUGUGCAAGACGCACAGAUUGGUCACACAGUACUGGGACUUCAGUGUAA